GCCCAAUCCAAAAUGCGUCACAUUUUUGUUCAAUUUGCCCCAAAUCACCAUCACCACCAAACUCGCCGGCACGAUCACCGCGCCAACCGUCGAGUCGAAUUCGCCGCCCCAAAACCCUAGAUUCAAGCACAUUCCGAAACCUGAGGGAAUUCUUAUCAAAUUUCGGGAUCAAUUCUUAGAAGUUCUUCAAUUUCUACUGAAACUCUUCGCCCUCUACAGUGCUCGAUUGAAGUGCUCGAUUGAGGUUAGAUUUGAGCUACGGGAAUUGCUAAGGAGUUAAUCAAGCAAGGCAACGACCACGACUGGCCAAGCUGCUGCUAUCGCUCAUUGCACUGGUUUCGGCAGAAACUGAGAUCUCGCCCAAAAGUUAUGGAGCACCAAGGAUGAAGGUCAUAAGCCUUUCUAUUUUCAAAUAGGGAAAGAUACUGUUAUUUAAGGGUGGCUUUGAUAUGAUCUGCAGUAGGAGGGACAAGAUAGAGACCCCUGAACAAUUCAAAAAGGCUGAGGAGACUGUGAAUAAGCUUGAUUUGGACGGACUUGUUGUCAUAUGAGGAGAUGAUUCAAAUACCAAUGCAUGUCUUCUUGCUGAGAAUUUCAGGGAAAAGAAAAUGAAAACACGAGUCAUCUUAUGAUUAUGAUGCUGUCUCAAAGUCUUGUUAUCAGUUUCUUGGAUCAUUUUUGGGCAGCUCUGAUAAGGCCAAAGAUACAAAUUCUCAUACACUAAACACAUCAAUGGGUUUACUGCAAUCCUUGAAGAUGAAGAAGUUUCUAGAAUAUCUAAGCAUCCCAAGGUUGCACAACAUGGUCAUGGGAUUUUACUUUAAGCCGGUCCUCUAUGGAAGAAGGCUAGAUUUGGGGAAGAUACCAUUAUUGGAAAUCUUGAUAACGAUGUAUCAUUUCUCUCGAUUUGAAUAUUACUCUGCACAGCCAGUGUUAUUUGGAGGAUUCUUCCUAGAAACUAUCCUCCUCCUAAGUGGGAUGGGCAAGGAGGGGUGUAUGACAGGUCAAGAGGUGUGAGGAAGAACUGUUGAAUCAGGAUACUGGUUUGGGAAGAUGGUUUUUGCAAUUUUGCAACUUCUGUAGGUGAGGUGAAGGAAUGUGGGCUGCAGCCUGACCUCUUCUUCAAAAAGUCACAUGAAAUCUACAAUUAUGGUGAAGGUUUGAUUGGGAAAGUGGCGGCUGAUCACAACCACAAAUGGAUCCACAAAGAGCCAAAUGAUUAAGAAAUCAACUUCCUAUCUGCAUGGCAUAACUCUGAUUAAUAGAUUGCUCUCGAAAUACAACUUUGACAUCUCAAAGUUGGGGCUAUUAGUGAACAAGAGCUAUACAGAGGAUCUCAAAUUCAUGGCGGAGCUAGUUAAAUCUGGAGCAGGGGACAUCGGUAUUCACACUAUGAAAAAGUUUCCUCAGUCGUAUCACCUGCAGAGGCGCUCCUGUUUUAUGAUCAGGAACCAUGCCCUUCGAAAUGCAAAAAAACAGAAAAAUUCUCUGUUAUAAUGGCAUUGAGCAACUAAUCCGAAGGGCGAAGCAAACCCACAAGAACUUCAAAGCUGCUGCCACUGAUGCUCUUAGGGAUUUAGGUUUGGACAAUUACAACUCGUGAGCUUUUUCACUGUUAUUCCUUUAUCAUAUUGCUUUGUUUCAGCCACUGCCAAGAAUAUCAUGUGUUGUAAUUUCAUGCCAUAAUCUUAUCACAUUUGUUUUAAUAUAUUGCAAAUCGAUAUUGUGUAUA
Molecule: long non-coding RNA, 1732 nt
Organism: Salvia hispanica
Lineage: Eukaryota; Viridiplantae; Streptophyta; Magnoliopsida; Lamiales; Lamiaceae
Source: RefSeq, a predicted model, not a curated record